This is a long non-coding RNA of Eriocheir sinensis (Chinese mitten crab), 1355 nucleotides long. RefSeq lists it as uncharacterized. The record is from RefSeq and is a predicted model, not a curated record. NCBI's taxonomy places the organism in Eukaryota, Metazoa, Arthropoda, Malacostraca, Decapoda, Varunidae. The transcript is spliced from 2 exons.
AUAUAUAUAUAUAUUACCUCCCCUUCCCCCCAUUCAUAAUCUUUCCCUUCUCUCACUCCGUACAUUAUUUGUGGACCAGUUUCUGCCUAUUCUCUUGAAGCUGAAAUAAUCAAACUAGGACCUAUUACUGCUAUUUGUUCCAUUCUUCCACUAUCCCAUUUGCAAACCCGGUCUUGUCCGUCUCCUUAAAAGUGAAUAGUCUAAAGAGUAUCUAUUGUUUUGGGUGCUAAUGUCUAUUCUGCAUAAAUGUUCUAUCUGUAGUAUUUUUAUUAACUACCUUUUGAAAUUGUUCCAUUUAUCCACUACCUACUUUGUGAACCAGUUCCUGCUUAUCUCCUUAAACCUGUAUAAAUCUGUAUAGUAUCCAUUGCUUUGAGUUCUGAUGUCUUCUAACAUUCUAUCUAAUAUUUGGAUUAACUUCUCUGCUUCUUAGUUUGUUCCAUUCAUCCACUGAUCAUUAUGUUACUCUGUUCUUGUCCAGCUCCUCCUCUCCAUGUCAGGCUAUUGUAAAAAGAUCUUUAGAAAUUGUUGUACAGAUCACCUUAAGGGGCUAUUACACUGGGCAAAUUUUCCGUGAAUCUUCAGUCAAACAACGAUUUCCGCUAGCAUGGUUCUCAUUUGUUUCUUGUUAUUGCUGAUGAUGAUGAUGGUGAGUAAUACCAUCGUCCUUCGGUGAAAUCUACCGUAGCUUUGGAAGAUCGUGGACACGUCAGAAAACCACGGAAAUGUGAGAACCACGCCAGCGGAAAUCGUGGUUUGACUGAAGAUCCACGGAAAAUUUGCCCAGUGUAAUAGCCCCUUUAGGUUGAUGGAAGUCAGUUUGAGUAGUUUAUUGCAGAGGUCAGGUUAGUCUCUAUUGUAAGGUCCUUAGAAGUUUUGUUGAGGUCACCUUUUGCUGGUAGUAUAGUCACAAGGAACAGUUUGUUGCAGAGGUCAGGUUAGGAUCUGUUGUAAAGGUUAUUAAAGAGGUCAUGUUAAGAUCUAUUCAGGUUUUCUGAAUGGGUCAUCUCAGGUCAUUAGAAGUGAUUUGCAGAGGUCAUUUUAGGCUGUAAUGAAGGUCUGUUGAAGUUUUCUGUAAAAGUCAUCUCAGGCCAUCUGAAGUCCAUUGCAAAGGUCAUUUUGUGUUGUAAAGAAGGUCUGUUGUUGUAGAAGUCUUACUGGAGUCAUGAUCAGCUGGUGUGGUUUGUUUUGUGAAUAAGUUUGGCACACAUUUGUUACUUUGUGGAUGUUCUCUUCCAGUUGUUUUAUAUAGUAGAGUAAAAAAAAAAAAAAAAGUCAGGGCUGGUACACAUUUUGAGAUUUUCUUUUCAUGUGAUUGUGUGUCAUCAUACUGACUUUUUUUUUUUUUUUUUUUU